RNAcentral lists this ribosomal RNA (2269 nucleotides) under Acinetobacter sp. RNAcentral describes it as "partial 23S ribosomal RNA". It matches the Rfam family "Bacterial large subunit ribosomal RNA", at positions 810 to 2925 of the family's 2925-position model. The record is from RNAcentral. Lineage: Bacteria; Pseudomonadati; Pseudomonadota; Gammaproteobacteria; Moraxellales; Moraxellaceae.
UGUGGGUAGGGGUGAAAGGCCAAUCAAACUCCGUGAUAGCUGGUUCUCCCCGAAAUGCAUUUAGGUGCAGCGUCGCAUGUUUCACCACGGGGGUAGAGCUACUGGAUGGUCUAGGGGCCUUACCGGGUUACCGAAAUCAACCAAACUCCGAAUACCGUGGUGUGAGAGUGCGGCAGUGAGACGGCGGGGGAUAAGCUUCGUCGUCGAGAGGGAAACAGCCCAGAACACCAGCUAAGGCCCCUAAGUGUGUGCUCAGUGGGAAAGGAUGUGGGAUUGCCCAGACAACCAGGAGGUUGGCUUAGAAGCAGCCACCCUUGAAAGAGUGCGUAAUAGCUCACUGGUCAAGUGGUCCUGCGCCGACAAUGUAGCGGGGCUUAAGCACACCGCCGAAGCUGUGUCACUCGUGCAAUACAUCCGCCAAUCUUUCGGGGUUGGUGCAGUGGCACGGGUGGGUAGGGGAGCGUCCUGCAUCCGGGGAAGCGGCGGCGGAAGCCAGUCGUGGAGGGUGCGGGAGUGAGAAUGCAGGCAUGAGUAGCGAAUGCAGAGUGAGAAACUCUGCCGCCGGAUGACCAAGGGUUCCUGGGCCAGGCUAAUCCGCCCAGGGUAAGUCGGGACCUAAGGCGAGGCCGACAGGCGUAGUCGAUGGACAACGGGUUGAUAUUCCCGUACCCGAGCAUGUGCGCCCAUGGCGAGGCGGUUGACACUAACCACCCAAAACCAUGAAUGAAGCCUUCGGGUGGAGUUUGUGUGUGGAGCGUGGGACCUGAUUCCGUAGUAGUCAAGCGAUGGGGUGACGCAGGAAGGCAGCUCUGCCAGGCGAUGGUUGUCCUGGUGUAAGCGUGUAGGCCGAGUGGUAGGCAAAUCCGCCGCUCUUCAGGCUGAGACGUGAUGCGUAGCCGUUUGAGGUGAAGCGAGUGAUCCUAUGCUGUCGAGAAAAGCCUCUAGUGAGUGCACGCACGGCCCGUACCCCAAACCAACACAGGUGGUCAGGUAGAGAAUACUGAGGCGAUCGGGUGAACUGUGGUUAAGGAACUCGGCAAAAUGCCCCCGUAACUUCGGGAGAAGGGGGGCCAAGCGCGGUGAUACCCCUAGCGGGUGGAGCUGUGGUUGGCCGCAGAGACCAGCGGAAAGCGACUGUUUACUAAAAACACAGGUCCAUGCGAAGUCGCAAGACGAUGUAUAUGGACUGACGCCUGCCCGGUGCUGGAACGUUAAGAGGACCGGUUAACCCUUCGGGGUGAAGCUGAGAAUUUAAGCGCCAGUAAACGGCGGCCGUAACUAUAACGGUCCUAAGGUAGCGAAAUUCCUUGUCGGGUAAGUUCCGACCUGCACGAAUGGCAUAAUGAUGGGGGCGCUGUCUCCAGCAGAGGCUCAGUGAAAUCGAAAUCGCCGUGAAGAUGCGGUGUACCCGCGGCUAGACGGAAAGACCCCGUGAACCUUUACUGCAGCUUGACAUUGAACUUUGAUCUUACUUGUGUAGGAUAGGUGGGAGGCUUAGAAGUAGCGACGCCAGUUGCUAUGGAGCCAUCCUUGAAAUACCACCCUGGUAAUAUUGAGGUUCUAACUCUGUCCCGUUAUCCGGGACGAGGACCAUGUCUGGUGGGUAGUUUGACUGGGGCGGUCUCCUCCUAAAGAGUAACGGAGGAGUACGAAGGUGCGCUCAGCGUGGUCGGAAAUCACGCGUAGAGUAUAAAGGCAAAAGCGCGCUUAACUGCGAGACCCACAAGUCGAGCAGGUACGAAAGUAGGUCUUAGUGAUCCGGUGGUUCUGUAUGGAAGGGCCAUCGCUCAACGGAUAAAAGGUACUCUGGGGAUAACAGGCUGAUACCGCCCAAGAGUUCAUAUCGACGGCGGUGUUUGGCACCUCGAUGUCGGCUCAUCUCAUCCUGGGGCUGAAGCAGGUCCCAAGGGUAUGGCUGUUCGCCAUUUAAAGAGGUACGCGAGCUGGGUUUAGAACGUCGUGAGACAGUUCGGUCCCUAUCUACCGUGGGCGUUGGAAAUUUGAGAGGAUCUGCUCCUAGUACGAGAGGACCAGAGUGGACGAACCUCUGGUGUACCGGUUGUGACGCCAGUCGCAUCGCCGGGUAGCUAUGUUCGGAAGGGAUAACCGCUGAAAGCAUCUAAGCGGGAAGCCUACCUCAAGAUAAGAUUUCCCUAGGACUUUAUGUCCUCUAAAGAGCCGUUGAAGACUACGACGUUGAUAGGUUGGAUGUGGAAGUGCGGUGACGCAUGAAGCUGACCAAUACUAAUUGCUCGUGAGGCUUGACUAU